Non-coding RNA from Schizosaccharomyces pombe (fission yeast), 505 nucleotides. The record is from the annotation of a GenBank genome assembly. Lineage: Eukaryota; Fungi; Ascomycota; Schizosaccharomycetes; Schizosaccharomycetales; Schizosaccharomycetaceae.
CGAAAAGCUCUUUCUAUCCAAAAUGUAAACAGACGCGACACGACUACAUUGCAACGCAACGCGCUACAUUCUAAUUAAAGUAGUAUACCGUGACUGCUCUAACUCAAGGUUGCUUUAACUCUUAUACUGUCAACCUGAAACUGCACUGUACAUAUAAAAUGCACUUGAAACAGUAGUGAAGAAGUGCUGAAAUUUUUCUUUUUUUUCAAUCUUGUUUUUCAGGCACAUUAAUAAUAUGUAAGUAUAAACACUUGAAGAGAUAGAAUGUUACAUAUGAUGCUUUACAAAUCGAUUAGUCUUGAAGACACAACUAUGUGGUUAAAUUUUUAUACUUGUAUACUGAUUUUCAUUCCUAUCUUUUUUAUAAUAUCUUUCAUUUCGCUAACGCUUUUUAGGUAUGAAUUAUCCUGGCGACAAUAAUAAAGAUAUAGUUAUUUAGCUGUUGUUUUAGUGGUUGAUCAAGAGAUAGAAUGAUUCGUUAAUUAAUAUAAAAAGAUUUUAUUCU